CCUACGGUGCGCAGCAGUGGGGAAUAUUGGACAAUGGGCGAAAGCCUGAUCCAGCCAUGCCGCGUGUGUGAAGAAGGCCUUCGGGUUGUAAAGCACUUUCAGUGGGGAAGAAAGCCUUGGGGCUAAUACCCUCGAGGAAGGACAUCACCCACAGAAGAAGCACCGGCUAACUCCGUGCCAGCAGCCGCGGUAAUACGGAGGGUGCGAGCGUUAAUCGGAAUUACUGGGCGUAAAGCGCGCGUAGGCGGUCUGAUAAGCCGGUUGUGAAAGCCCCGGGCUCAACCUGGGAACGGCAUCCGGAACUGUCAGGCUAGAGUGCAGGAGAGGAAGGUAGAAUUCCCGGUGUAGCGGUGAAAUGCGUAGAGAUCGGGAGGAAUACCAGUGGCGAAGGCGGCCUUCUGGACUGACACUGACGCUGAGGUGCGAAAGCGUGGGUAGCAAACAGGAUUAGAUACCCAGUAGUC
This 464-nucleotide ribosomal RNA is filed under the name Vreelandella stevensii. Its description in RNAcentral is "partial 16S ribosomal RNA". It matches the Rfam family "Bacterial small subunit ribosomal RNA", at positions 338 to 795 of the family's 1533-position model. Lineage: Bacteria; Pseudomonadati; Pseudomonadota; Gammaproteobacteria; Oceanospirillales; Halomonadaceae. The record is from RNAcentral.